ACCGGCGCACGGGUGCGUAACGCGUAUGCAAUCUACCCACUGCAGAGGGAUAGCCCGUGGAAACAUGGAUUAAUACCUCAUAAUACAGGGAGCCCAUCUGGGCAUAUUGUUAAAGCUCCGGCGGCAGUGGAUGAGCAUGCGUCCCAUUAGCUAGUUGGUAAGAUAACGGCUUACCAAGGCAAUGAUGGGUAGGGGUUCUGAGAGGAUGAUCCCCCACACUGGUACUGAGAUACGGACCAGACUCCUACGGGAGGCAGCAGUAGGGAAUAUUGGUCAAUGGACGCAAGUCUGAACCAACCAUGCCGCGUGCAGGAAGACGGCCUUCUGGGUUGUAAACUGCUUUUAUCAGGGAAGAAAAUACUCUUGCGAGAGUAAUUGCCGGUACCUGAAGAAUAAGCACCGGCUAACUCCGUGCCAGCAGCCGCGGUAAUACGGAGGGUGCAAGCGUUGUCCGGAUUUAUUGGGUUUAAAGGGUGCGUAGGCGGCCUAUUAAGUCAGUGGUGAAAGGUAUCAGCUUAACUGAUGACGUGCCAUUGAAACUGACAGGCUUGAGUACAGACGAGGUAGGCGGAAUUUAUGGUGUAGCGGUGAAAUGCAUAGAUACCAUAAAGAACACCAAUUGCGAAGGCAGCUUACUAGACUGUAACUGACGCUGAGGCACGAAAGCGUGGGGAGCGAACAGGAUUAGAUACCCUGGUAGUCCACGCCGUAAACGAUGAUUACUGGAUGUGUG
This 733-nucleotide ribosomal RNA is filed under the name uncultured bacterium. RNAcentral's name for it is "bacterial SSU rRNA". It matches the Rfam family "Bacterial small subunit ribosomal RNA", at positions 94 to 826 of the family's 1533-position model. The record is from RNAcentral.